RNAcentral lists this long non-coding RNA (405 nucleotides) under Oryza sativa tropical japonica subgroup. RNAcentral's name for it is "lncRNA OsCMeo_12g0005750". RNAcentral also lists the same sequence under 1 other name. The record is from RNAcentral. Lineage: Eukaryota; Viridiplantae; Streptophyta; Magnoliopsida; Poales; Poaceae.
AUGCGCCAGAAUGCGACUCGGUGGGCGGAGAGGAAAGGUUCGAUGAUGCUGGCGACGACGCAUCCUCGUUCAGUUGGCGGCCGCGAGAGUGUGGCGGCGACGAUGGCGACUUUCUUGAGAUCCAGCUUGUCCGGCUCGUACCAGUUGUGUUGGAGGAUCGCUCCCACGUCGUCGGCGCCAAACUGCUUGCGCACGGCGAAGUUGCCCCACGAUGGCUUGAGGACAAGAGAGAAAGAGACGACGCCGGUGGUGUUGACCUCAACGGCCAUGGUGAUGGCUAAGGCGGUGGCGAGUGAGAAGCUCGGCGGCGUCGGCUCCAAGAGGAGGUGGCAAACACCGGCGGCUGGGGCGGUCGGCUCCUGCAUCGAGGAAGAAGCUCCCUUGGAUGUCGGCUGGAGGCCCGUG